GGAUGCUAUCAUACCAGCACUAAAGCACCGGAUCCCAUCAGAACUCCGAAGUUAAGCGUGCUUGGGCGAGAGUAGUACUAGGAUGGGUGACCUCGUGGAAGUCCUCGUGUUGCAUUCC
RNAcentral lists this ribosomal RNA (118 nucleotides) under Triticum dicoccoides. The record is from RNAcentral. Lineage: Eukaryota; Viridiplantae; Streptophyta; Magnoliopsida; Poales; Poaceae.